UUAAACUAAUUUUGGAUUUGGUACUUGUACCUGACCCCAUUGGUUGCAUGAGUUAAGUACAUUCCCAGACAUUUUUUCCUGAAAGUAUGGCUCAUGAGAGUGAAAACGUUAUACUUUAAUAUAGUUUUCUGGGUGCUGGGGAGAAGAUUUUUUACUUUCUUGAGAUAGGGUCUUACUCAAUAGUUCAUGCUACCCUUGAACUCACUAUGUAUCUGAAGGUGGCCUUGACCUUAUAAUAGUUCUAACUCAGCUUCCCCAAGUGCUGUAAUUACAGCAUGAGUCUCCAUGCUUAGCUCUUGGAGUCGAAGUUUGUAGGUGGGCCCCCUAGUAAGGGGACAGAGUUGGUUGGCAUCCUCCUGUUAUAUUGGUCUCUGGUCUCCCCUCAGUGCAGGCAGGAUGCCCAGUUUCAUCAGAGUUGUGUGGAUAUGGGAAGGUGACAAGUUGGCAAGUUUGGGUUUGCAGAUUGUGAUUGCCCCCCUUUCUUCCCUACCCUGUGCUCCUUGGGGAGCUCCUCACCUGUUUCCUCAUGAGAUGAAUUCCUUUCCAGCCAGAGCCCUGGAGAGGGAAAACAGGCUCUCCAUGUUUGUGGAGGGAUUUAAUGGAUGUUUUUUGAGAUAGUAUCUCAUACUGUUAUCCUGGGCUGUCUUAGAACUAAGUAUGUAGUUUAGGCUGGCCUUGAAAUUGCUUCAGCCUUCAUACUAAGGCUACUCAUCUCAGCUACUACAACCAUCUGUGUCCAUAUUUCAUCUAUGUUUAAUGUUUUUAGUUGUAUCAUGGGAUGUAUCAAAUUGGACUUUGGAUGGUGGUUGGCAGGUUGUUUUGUGCUAGUCUACUCAUGCAAUGAAGGUGAAUCGGCAGCUGGGUGUAGCAGUAUAUGCUUGUUAUUGUAGUACCUGACAGAAGCAGGAAGGUCAUGAGUUUGAGAUAAUGCUCAGCUUCCUAGUGAGUUAAGGCCAGCUACACAAGAGCCUGUCUCAAAACGUAUUGGCAACAGCUGCUGUUCUCAGCCUUAAGACUUUUCUUCCUUGGGUGGAUGCGCUGACUGUCUUUUAUAAAAGGUCCCUUCUUUCAGUGAAGAGUGUUUGUGCACCUUCAGCUUCUCUACAAGACUGUAUUGGGGUACAAUUGGACCCCAACAUGCCUUUCCUCCCCACAUUGCUGUCUUUUCCUGCUCAUUUAACACCUAAUUCGUUCAGGUCUGAUGCUUAUGUCAACCAUGUGCCACAGUGAGUCACCUCCAGCCUACUUAGACCAUAAUCUCUAUACCCAGUCAGCUGUACCAUGUACCUGGCCAGCUCUGGUUUCUUUACUUUCCAUGCCUAGCAAAUCCUUCUGGCAGUGCUUUCAGCUUGGGGUACUCAGCCGAUAUCUCCACGUGCUCUCACGUUGAGGUGGGAUCCAAACCCGCUGUGAGGAUGUGCUGGCCAGUGUUAUGUCCGCUUGAUACAAGCGAGAGCCAUCUGAAAAGAUGGAGCUUCAGCUGAGUAGGGUAUUUUACUAAUCAGUGAUUGAUGGGGGACAGCCCAGUCCAUGGUGAGUGGUGCCACCCCCGGGCUGGUGGUCCUGGGUCCUCUAAGAAAGCCGGCUAAGCAAGCCAUGAGCAGCCCAGUAAGCAGCAUUUCUCCACGGCCUCUGCAUCAGUUCCUGCCUUGGCUUCCCUCAGUGGUUUCGGGAUAGAAAAUGUGUGGCAGAUGCCUGGCUGCAUCUUUGAGAGUCUUGUGUGGAGAGAGCUUCCUAGCAGAUUGUCAGUGAUCUCUGUCUAUAAAACCAUCUUUGUUUUGGAACCUUUAACAUUUUUCUUUCCUAACAGUAAGCUACAGAUCUUUGUUUUUGUCAACUCUUUCCUCCCCAAGUUGCUUUGGGUCAUGGUGUUUUAUCACAGCAAUAAUAACCCUAACACAGCGGCCAUCUGACUCUUUUGUCUUCCUAUAGUCAGUCCUUGGCUCAACCUUGUAGCUGAGCGACUUCCCAGAGACUCAGGUGUGUUGGCUAUGACUGGUCCCACUCUGUCUCAGCUCUGGUGAUCGUUGUGUUCGGGAUGCUGUAGGACUCGUCCAGGUUGUAUUUCCUAGGUUGCCCUAGUCUUCUGCUCAAGUUGCUCAUAGCCUUUGCUUUCACUUGUGUCUGUAGGGCCACACCCCUUCUUUCCUGCCCUGCCUGCCAUUCUAAGCACAGGGAAUUUCAGACUCUACCAACUGUCUCCCUGCAGAACUUGUAUAAUUAACCCUUGUAGAGUAACCAUAGUAACACCCACACUAUCAAGUGGGAAUGCUAGGCUGUCCAUUAGCCUAUGGCCUGGGACUAUGUUACACUGUUACCUCCUUAAAAGCAUAGCUGUUGAUCCUUAAGCCUCAAUGCAUGUGUGAUGGUCCCAGAGUCUUAUUCUAAAUUUGUGGUCCUGAGCCAGAGAGAAAGCACAUUGCGGACCUUUCCUUCUCAGCCCCGUUCUUGCAUGAGUUGUUGCUGACCUUGGCGCUGGUUAGAAGAUUUGUGGGUUUAGGACUGGUGCUAUGGAGAGGAGGAUGGGAAUGCUCUCUCUCUCUCUCUCUCUCUCUCUCUCUGUGUGUGUGUGUGUGUGUGUGUGUGCGCGCGCGCGUGUGCGCGUGUGCGUGUGCGCGCGCGAGUGCAAACUUGUACACAUUUGUGUUUAAGGCCUCAUGGUACUUAGUCUAUCAGUGUAUCAGAGACAACAGAUCUCUGCUGUCUGUCACUGUCUUCUUUUGUUAUUGUUGUUGUUUGUCAGACAGCCCUGCAUGAGAUUGUGACACUUGGUUGUCCUUUGAUUAUUAUGUUUGUCUCACAUUUUGACAAAAAAAAAAAAUGAGUAUUUUAGCUUUUGAAUGAACUAGGGUAAUAGUUUUUCUCUGUUUUGUUUUGCUGCUAGAGAUGGGACUCAGAACUUUGGGUAUUUAGAUAAAUACCCAAAACCAGUCCAAUAGAUAAUUUGAAAGAUGAAAACAUUUGUGUUCAUGGGGAAAAAAAUCAAACUAGUGGAUACCCAGUGAGAAGUUAAGAGUCCCUAUCCAGCCAGGCGUAGUGGCACACACCUUUAAUCCGAGCACUUGGGAGGCAGAGGCAAGCGGAUUUCUGAGUUCGAGGCCAGCCUGGUCUACAGAGUGAGUUCCAAGACAGCCAGGGCUACACAGAGAACCCUGUCUCAUCUCCCACCCAACUCCUCUUAAAAAAAAAUAAAUAAAUAAUACC
This is a long non-coding RNA of Apodemus sylvaticus (European woodmouse), 3204 nucleotides long. RefSeq lists it as uncharacterized. The transcript has 2 exons. The record is from RefSeq and is a predicted model, not a curated record. Lineage: Eukaryota; Metazoa; Chordata; Mammalia; Rodentia; Muridae.